This 399-nucleotide ribosomal RNA is filed under the name uncultured bacterium. RNAcentral's name for it is "bacterial SSU rRNA". It matches the Rfam family "Bacterial small subunit ribosomal RNA", at positions 361 to 776 of the family's 1533-position model. The record is from RNAcentral.
AUAUUGGACAAUGGGGGCAACCCUGAUCCAGCAAUGCCGCGUGAGUGAUGAAGGCCUUAGGGUUGUAAAGCUCUUUUACCCGGGAUGAUAAUGACAGUACCGGGAGAAUAAGCCCCGGCUAACUCCGUGCCAGCAGCCGCGGUAAUACGGAGGGUGCGAGCGUUGUUCGGAAUUAUUGGGCGUAAAGCGCACGUAGGCGGCCCGUUAAGUCUCAUGGUGAAAGGCCGGGGCUCAACCCCGAGCAUGCCGGGGAUACUGGGGGGCUGGAGACAGGUAGAGGCCAGCGGAAUUCCGGGUGUAGCGGUGGAAUGCGUAGAGAUCCGGAAGAACACCGGAGGCGAAGGCGGCUGGCUGGACCUGAUCUGACGCUGAGGUGCGAAAGCGUGGGGAGCGAACAGG